RNAcentral lists this long non-coding RNA (1044 nucleotides) under Fukomys damarensis (Damara mole-rat). RNAcentral's name for it is "lncRNA (ENSFDAG00000024441.1)". Lineage: Eukaryota; Metazoa; Chordata; Mammalia; Rodentia; Bathyergidae. The record is from RNAcentral.
AUGAUGAUAGCAUAUUUGAAGAGCUGCAGGUCACCGAGCGACUCUAACAGCAGCCCUGCAGAGAUCUGCCCUGCAGAAGUGGAACACAACGGCCGGCCAGGCUGGGCCCCGUACGUACCGGGGAAGCGAGUGACUGCGCAGGCAGAGAGAGCUGCCCGCCUUCACCUGCGCCGCUCUGCUUGGCUCUCUGCUGGAGCUCCGUGUGGGAUUCUGGCCCAGGAGGGCGAAGGGAUCGGGGAUACGGCGGGAGGGGAAGGGAGGCAGGCUGGCUGGGAACCGGCUGGCAGUGUGCAUCAGGAUUCGUGCUUUCCGAGGUUGGCAUGGAUAUAAAAAUAAUUCAUGGAGGGAAGAGAUGGAAGUGCAAUGCACAGGCCAUAUGUUUGAAAGCCCUGCCCACAGCGGCUGGCUGCGGUUACCGGCGAAUGGUGCCACUAACAAGAUUAAAUUAUGGGACCCGACGGAGGCACAGAUACCAGGAAGAUUACCUCUAACUUCCAGCGUUUGAUAAAAUGUGGAGCAACCUAGGAACUUCACGCAUGCACAGAACUUCUGUUUUAAUCUGUAAAAGAUCAUCUUUACUCUGGUCCAUGCUUUUAGUGAUUCAGUUGCCAAAACUUGCUAAAUUCCAUUUUUUUUUUCCUCGCAAAUCUCAGUGGCCUAGAAAAUGCCUGUGUCAGGAUUUGAGAGAGAAUAUCUUUUCCAUAUUUUUCCAUCUUUGUCCCCUCAUAAAGAAUUUACUUUCUGGGAUGUCCAGGCAAUGUCUUUGCCUAAUGUUUGAAAAAGUGUCUGAGUGAUUUGCUUUUGUGCCAAGCGAAACUUUGGGACAUUUUGAGAUGUUUCUGCCAUUAAAGAUUUAAUCGGAAAUUUUAACAAGUAAAUAAAAUUCUAUCUCCUUUUACUCUGGCUGACUGAUUUUUUAAAAGUGUACUUUACUGUCAAAUAGACACCAAGCAAUACUCAGCUAGUUUCUUGAAGAGUAUCAAAUGAACAUUAUAAUGAUUACAUAUAAAUGUUUAUGGCUCCAACCAAAUUUAAGAAAAUAAG